RNAcentral lists this ribosomal RNA (681 nucleotides) under uncultured Bacilli bacterium. RNAcentral's name for it is "bacterial SSU rRNA". It matches the Rfam family "Bacterial small subunit ribosomal RNA", at positions 75 to 735 of the family's 1533-position model. The record is from RNAcentral. Lineage: Bacteria; Bacillati; Bacillota; Bacilli.
GGAGCUUGCUCCACCGGAAAAGGAGGAGUGGCGAACGGGUGAGUAACACGUGGGUAACCUGCCCAUCAGAAGGGGAUAACACUUGGAAACAGGUGCUAAUACCGUAUAACAAUCAAAACCGCAUGGUUUUGAUUUGAAAGGCGCUUUCGGGUGUCGCUGAUGGAUGGACCCGCGGUGCAUUAGCUAGUUGGUGAGGUAACGGCUCACCAAGGCCACGAUGCAUAGCCGACCUGAGAGGGUGAUCGGCCACAUUGGGACUGAGACACGGCCUAAACUCCUACGGGAGGCAGCAGUAGGGAAUCUUCGGCAAUGGACGAAAGUCUGACCGAGCAACGCCGCGUGAGUGAAGAAGGUUUUCGGAUCGUAAAACUCUGUUGUUAGAGAAGAACAAGGAUGAGAGUAACUGUUCACCCCUUGACGGUAUCUAACCAGAAAGCCACGGCUAACUACGUGCCAGCAGCCGCGGUAAUACGUAGGUGGCAAGCGUUGUCCGGAUUUAUUGGGCGUAAAGCGAGCGCAGGCGGUUUCUUAAGUCUGAUGUGAAAGCCCCCGGCUCAACCGGGGAGGGUCAUUGGAAACUGGGAGACUUGAGUGCAGAAGAGGAGAGUGGAAUUCCAUGUGUAGCGGUGAAAUGCGUAGAUAUAUGGAGGAACACCAGUGGCGAAGGCGGCUCUCUGGUCU